This 255-nucleotide ribosomal RNA is filed under the name Triticum aestivum (bread wheat). Its description in RNAcentral is "partial small subunit ribosomal RNA". Lineage: Eukaryota; Viridiplantae; Streptophyta; Magnoliopsida; Poales; Poaceae. The record is from RNAcentral.
CGCAUUCCUCAAAUUCAUUUUUCCUUUGAAUUACUCAUUUUUAAUUUCGCACCGGAAAAUUUUCUAGGAGAAGUUCGAAUCUGUUCCGUUCGGAUAUUGAUCGGUCUUGGUUUGACAUGGUUUACGUGUUACUGGUUCCCGGAAGAGUCAAUUUCUCCAUUAGCUAAACCCUUUAUUACCCUAACUUUGGACUCGUAUUUUGUUUGUACACAAUCAACGGAGGCCCCCCGACAUAUGUUGCAAUGUCUUCAAUAG